RNAcentral lists this long non-coding RNA (204 nucleotides) under Phaseolus vulgaris (common bean). Its description in RNAcentral is "long non-coding RNA (PVUL_LNC005150)". Lineage: Eukaryota; Viridiplantae; Streptophyta; Magnoliopsida; Fabales; Fabaceae. The record is from RNAcentral.
UCCCUAUCAGAAUACCUUGUAUAUCUCUUAUAUAUUGAUUCUUUAUUUAAUUAAACUAAGGAAUCUAGCAUUCAUCUUAAUAUUUGUUACUGCUUUGUCUAUCACAAUAUUAAAUUCAGAUUAUUCAACCUCCUUUUUCACCUUUCCUUUUUUACCCUAUCUAAAACCUAAUAAUCUAAAUAAACUGAAGGAGUAGCAUCACCA